RNAcentral lists this ribosomal RNA (253 nucleotides) under uncultured bacterium. RNAcentral describes it as "partial 16S ribosomal RNA". It matches the Rfam family "Bacterial small subunit ribosomal RNA", at positions 524 to 776 of the family's 1533-position model. The record is from RNAcentral.
GACGAACCAAGCAAACGUUGUUCGGAAUCACUGGGCUUAAAGGGCGCGUAGGCGGUCCCUCAAGUCCGGGGUGAAAUCUUUCGGCUCAACCGGAAAAUUGCCUCGGAUACUGUGGGGCUCGAGUGAGGUAGGGGUAACGGGAACAUCCAGUGGAGCGGUGAAAUGCGUUGAUAUUGGAUGGAACGCCGGUGGCGAAAGCGCGUUACUGGACCUUUUCUGACGCUGAGGCGCGAAAGCCAGGGUAGCGAACGGG